This 519-nucleotide ribosomal RNA is filed under the name uncultured bacterium. RNAcentral's name for it is "bacterial SSU rRNA". It matches the Rfam family "Bacterial small subunit ribosomal RNA", at positions 32 to 524 of the family's 1533-position model. The record is from RNAcentral.
AAUCAACGCUGGCGGCGUGCCUCAGACAUGCAAGUCGAACGCGAAAGGCCCCUUCGGGGGCCGAGUAGAGUGGCGUCCGGGUGAGUAACACGUGGGUAAUCUACCUUCGGGUGGGGAAUAACGACCGGAAACGGUCGCUAAUACCGCAUAAUGCAGCGGCACCUAAUGGUGACAGUUGUUAAAGCGGGGGAUCGCAAGACCUCGCGCCUGAAGAGGAGCCCGCGGCGGAUUAGCUAGUUGGCAGGGUAACGGCCUACCAAGGCGACGAUCCGUAGCCGGCCUGAGAGGGCGGUCGGGCCACACUGGCACUGACACACGGGCCAGACUCCUACGGGAGGCAGCAGUCGGGAAUUUUGGGCAAUGGGCGAAAGCCUAACCCAGCAACGCCGCGUGAAGGAUGAAGCUUUUCGGAGUGUAAACUUCAUAAGAAUGGGACGAAUAAGGAGGGUUAACACCCCUUUGAUGACGGUACCAUUUGUAAGCUCCGGCUAACUCCGUGCCAGCAGCCGCCGCAGUAAU